Long non-coding RNA from Gallus gallus (chicken), 786 nucleotides. The record is from Ensembl. Lineage: Eukaryota; Metazoa; Chordata; Aves; Galliformes; Phasianidae.
GCGGCCUCGGCCUCCUCCGGGCCGCACCGCCUCCGGGAAGGGAUUUCGCCCCACAUCUCCCCCUUGUAGCCCUCCUCCCCUGUGCUGUCCCCGGUGCUGUCCCUCCUUUGCUCCUCCGUGCUUUCUGCUGCUGCUGUUCCUCGGGUGGUCGCUCCCCUCAUCUGUGCACUGCACGCUCCAAAGUGCCCGAGCCCGAUGUCACCUGAGAAAGGAGAGAGCAGUGGGAACUCCCAGAGCCACUGGAGAACCUUCUGUGCUGCUGCCUCGGACCCUCUCCUGCAGAACCCACAUCCUCCUCCUGUGCUGGAGCACGGAUUGAAAUCACUGGUAUGUGUAGGAUCUUAGCUUAAGCCUUGUCCGAUUAUUCCGAUCCUAAAAUAAAGCCAAAGGCUCAGAACCAGUCAUCUCAGUCACAUCUCUGAGGGUCUGCAGCUCUCAUACAGCAUCUGAGCAGAGAUCUGCCAUUCUGCAAACCACUUAUUGUCCCAUUCCAGGCAAUUUUCUGUUUGCCUCAAGUGUGGUACGUGGGCCUCAGGUGGACUCAGACUCCUUUCUUGAGACACUGUGCGAGAUUUUGAAACCCAGCAGAUCUUAAAAGUCAAUUUGCAGCAGCACUCUGUCCACACUGUACUCGGUCCUGCAGGAAGAGGCACAGUGCAUCCUCCCUGUGAUCUGCAGCCUCGGCACAAAGACGCAGUUAAGUAGGGCAGCGGCAACAGACAAUCAGCAGAACAGCUUUGUGGGUUAUUUACACAGAGCUCAGCCCAGCUGUGGCUGCAGGCUCUG